RNAcentral lists this transfer RNA (89 nucleotides) under Sedimentibacter sp. zth1. RNAcentral's name for it is "tRNA-Leu". It matches the Rfam family "tRNA". From Rfam's summary of the family: Transfer RNA (tRNA) molecules are approximately 80 nucleotides in length. Their secondary structure includes four short double-helical elements and three loops (D, anti-codon, and T loops). Further hydrogen bonds mediate the characteristic L-shaped molecular structure. tRNAs have two regions of fundamental functional importance: the anti-codon, which is responsible for specific mRNA codon recognition, and the 3' end, to which the tRNAs corresponding amino acid is attached (by aminoacyl-tRNA synthetases). tRNAs cope with the degeneracy of the genetic code in two manners: having more than one tRNA (with a specific anti-codon) for a particular amino acid; and 'wobble' base-pairing, i.e. permitting non-standard base-pairing at the 3rd anti-codon position. Lineage: Bacteria; Bacillati; Bacillota; Tissierellia. The record is from RNAcentral.
GCCGGAGUGGCGGAAUUGGCAGACGCACAGGACUUAAAAUCCUGCGUUCCCUAAAGAACGUACCAGUUCAAGUCUGGUCUUCGGUACCA